CUGAAGUAAAACAGGCUGUGACAAAGCAAUAAGUAUCUGCAGAGGAGAAGAAAAACCUUCUAAAAACUGAUCCGGCGGAGCCCUAGAAUUAUGAUGUCAAAGGAAGGAGCACAGGAGAAAAGUGAGAGAGGGAAACAGAUGUAUCCAGAGAAACAUGGAUGGAGUUAAAACACAGUGAUAAUGUCCUUCCUCAUGCCCCGAGGCACGGCCCUGCUAUCACCAAAUUAACAUCUGGCACAGCUGGAGGGCCAGGGCAGAGCCAGAGGGGCUGUGGGAGGGGAGCAGGGCAACUGCAUUGAAGUACCAGGCAGGAUCCCCCAUUGUAUAAAUCAAUGCGUUCUCUCUCGAGCUUGGGCCUUCUGAUAAUAAGCUAAACAAGAGCUGAUUCCUUACAGCUUCAUGGCUGUAAUCAGCAAACAGGUAAUGAGCAAUGGUAAGACGCCUUAAAUCCUUGGACAGGACAUGCUCAGGAUCUAAAAAGCAUGAUCACAGCUGCUCUAAGUGAAAGGUUCCUGGAAAUUUAUUGCUCCUCAUCAGCAAUAAAUCAGAAGCCCAACUUCCCUGCUGCUUCUCAGACAGAAACACAGUUGUACAGCACGAGAGAAACUCCCCAAAGUGCAGCAUAUGAGGGUCAGCACACAGGCAAGUCUGGAUAACAUUUCAGAAGAGAGACAGAUCAGCUGCCAAUAUGCUGGAAAAUAGCAAGCUUUGAAUUACAUUUAAUUCCUUUAAUAGCUGUGUUUAGUUUGUACACUACUGUAUAAAUAGAUAUGUAUUUAUACUAAUAUUUAUAAAUGUAUGUAUAAAUAUGUCUUUGCAGAGAUAAAUUUAUUAAAGCAAACUAAAU
This 847-nucleotide long non-coding RNA is filed under the name Cyanistes caeruleus (blue tit). Its description in RNAcentral is "lncRNA (ENSCCEG00000024107.1)". Lineage: Eukaryota; Metazoa; Chordata; Aves; Passeriformes; Paridae. The record is from RNAcentral.